Molecule: small nuclear RNA, 104 nt
Organism: Neofelis nebulosa (Clouded leopard)
Lineage: Eukaryota; Metazoa; Chordata; Mammalia; Carnivora; Felidae
Source: RefSeq, a predicted model, not a curated record
GUGCUUGCUUCGGAAGCACAUAUACUAAAAUUGGAACGAUGCAGAGAUUAGCAUGGCUCCUGUGCAAGGAUGACAUGCAAAUUCAUGAAGCAUUCUAUAUUUUU